GAUGAAGAACGUAGCGAAACGCGAUAAGUAAUGUGAAUUGCAGAAUUCAGUGAAUCAUCGAAUCUUUGAACGCACAUUGCGCCCGCCAGUAUUCUGGCGGGCAUGCCUGUCUGAGCGUCAUUUCAACCCUCAUGCCCCUAGGGCGUGGUGUUGGGGAUCGGCCAAAGCCCGCGAGGGACGGCCGGCCCCUAAAUCUAGUGGCGGACCCGUCGUGGCCUCCUCUGCGAAGUAGUGAUAUUCCGCAUCGGAGAGCGACGAGCCCCUGCCGUUAAACCCCCAACUUUCCAAGGUUGACCUCAGAUCAGGUAGGAAUACCCGCUGAACUUAAGCAUAUCAAUAAGCGGAGGA
This 348-nucleotide unclassified non-coding RNA is filed under the name soil metagenome. RNAcentral's name for it is "partial contains 5.8S ribosomal RNA, internal transcribed spacer 2, and large subunit ribosomal RNA". The stretch from base 1 to 120 matches the Rfam family "5.8S ribosomal RNA", at positions 35 to 154 of the family's 154-position model. The record is from RNAcentral.